RNAcentral lists this unclassified non-coding RNA (228 nucleotides) under Glomus sp. RNAcentral's name for it is "partial contains 5.8S ribosomal RNA and internal transcribed spacer 2". The stretch from base 1 to 65 matches the Rfam family "5.8S ribosomal RNA", at positions 84 to 154 of the family's 154-position model. Lineage: Eukaryota; Fungi; Glomeromycota; Glomeromycetes; Glomerales; Glomeraceae. The record is from RNAcentral.
GUGAAUCAUCAAAUUUUUGAACGCAAAUUGCACUCUCUUCGGAGAGUAUGCCUGUUUGAGGGUCAGCCUAAAAAAAAUCGACAUAGUCGCUGUUUCGCGGUGACAUUCGUCGGAAAUUGGGUCAUCUUAAACCUUUUAGUUUAAGCGACUUAAAAUUUUCUUUUGAUUCCAUGAACGUUUCUAAGAUUUAUUUCUUAACACGUUUAGGGUAUCAAUUUAUUAAACUUU